GUAGGUGAACCUGCGGAAGGAUCAUUACCGAGUGCGGGUCCUUUGGGCCCAACCUCCCAUCCGUGUCUAUUGUACCCUGUUGCUUCGGCGGGCCCGCCGCUUGUCGGCCGCCGGGGGGGCGCCUCUGCCCCCCGGGCCCGUGCCCGCCGGAGACCCCAACACGAACACUGUCUGAAAGCGUGCAGUCUGAGUUGAUUGAAUGCAAUCAGUUAAAACUUUCAACAAUGGAUCUCUUGGUUCCGGCAUCGAUGAAGAACGCAGCGAAAUGCGAUAACUAAUGUGAAUUGCAGAAUUCAGUGAAUCAUCGAGUCUUUGAACGCACAUUGCGCCCCCUGGUAUUCCGGGGGGCAUGCCUGUCCGAGCGUCAUUGCUGCCCUCAAGCCCGGCUUGUGUGUUGGGUCGCCGUCCCCCUCUCCGGGGGGACGGGCCCGAAAGGCAGCGGCGGCACCGCGUCCGAUCCUCGAGCGUAUGGGGCUUUGUCACAUGCUCUGUAGGAUUGGCCGGCGCCUGCCGACGUUUUCCAACCAUUCUUUCCAGGUUGACCUCGGAUCAGGUAGGGAUACCCGCUGAACUUAAGCAUAU
Molecule: ribosomal RNA, 582 nt
Filed under: Aspergillus niger
Lineage: Eukaryota; Fungi; Ascomycota; Eurotiomycetes; Eurotiales; Aspergillaceae
Description: eukaryotic LSU rRNA
Rfam family: 5.8S ribosomal RNA (bases 214-367)
Source: RNAcentral